This is a long non-coding RNA of Populus trichocarpa (black cottonwood), 976 nucleotides long. RefSeq lists it as uncharacterized. The transcript is spliced from 2 exons. The record is from RefSeq and is a predicted model, not a curated record. NCBI's taxonomy places the organism in Eukaryota, Viridiplantae, Streptophyta, Magnoliopsida, Malpighiales, Salicaceae.
UUGUCAAAUUGCCAUAUAUUGCAUCUCCAACUACAGGUAAGAAGCUUCAUCCGAGGGAAGAUAAGCCAUCUAUGAAUGAACAGAGCACUUUCAAAACCUCUUAUCGAGACCCCAUCUCCUGCUAAUUAUUCAUCUGGUGGUGAAGGGCGACUCCACCUGCUAAGCAGGCCAAGCUUGCCAAGCUUUCUAUUCCCUUCCAGCAAGCAGCUGAUAGCCAUCAGUCACGGCUCCAUAAGGCAAUAAAUUGGGUCAAUAGCCACCAUCAAAAGAAAGAAGGAAGGAAGCUGCCUAAGCCCUUCACUAAGACCUGGCGAACUACCACCCUCCCUUAAUGAGUAGCAUGAAUAAGAAGAGAGAGAAGAUGUCGCAGAUCAACUGUUAGGAAAAAAAGUUUUGAAGAAGAGGUAGUCGAUUACAAACCUUCUUCUAAUGAGGCUGCAGCUGAGCCAGAAAGUGCUCCAUCAAUUCCAACAGAAACAUGUCUAGCAUGCCCCUUUCAAGCUGAACGUGGGAAUGGGGAUGGGAAUGGGAAUGGAUAAUGAUGAAGAGGAAGGGAAGACAGAAGACUUCAGAUGAGGAUUUAGAGAGGCCAGUACUUGUCAAAAAUGCGGUUGAGGCCAUUUGUUGGAGAUUAGAUCGUACAAGUAACAACACUGCUUUUGCCUUUCUCUAUUAGGAAGGGAGCCGGGUCUCAACCGGGUUUACCCGGGUCGACCGGGUUCCGGGUCGACCCUCCGGGUCGACCGGGUUUCUCCGGGCCAACUCCCAGACGGGUUUUUACUUAGACCCGGACCGGUUCCAGGCCCGGGUCGGCCGGGUCCCGGGUCGACCCGCCGGGCCGGUCCGGGUUUCAAAACUAUGGUUGUAGCUAUCUAAAACAUUAAUACAAAAAUUAAAGGAUAUGAGAAAUUUACUGUUCAUUCACACUUAUUGUAUUGUGGAUUGCAAUAGAAUUUACCGUGGAUUACUUCUUCUU